GAUGAAGAACGCAGCGAAAUGCGAUAAGUAAUGUGAAUUGCAGAAUUCAGUGAAUCAUCGAAUCUUUGAACGCACAUUGCGCCCAUUAGUAUUCUAGUGGGCAUGCCUGUUCGAGCGUCAUUUCAACCCUUAAGCUUAGCUUAGUGUUGGGAGACUGCCUAACCGCAGCUCCUCAAAUACAGUUGGCAGAGUGUAUGUGUGCUCUGAGCGUAGUAAUUUAUUCUCGCUUCUGAAAACUAUAUACUGUAGCCACAAACCUAUUAUUUUUUAAUGGUUGACCUCGGAUCAGGUAGGAAUACCCGCUGAACUUAAGCAUAUCAAAAGCGGAGGA
Molecule: unclassified non-coding RNA, 331 nt
Filed under: soil metagenome
Description: partial contains 5.8S ribosomal RNA, internal transcribed spacer 2, and large subunit ribosomal RNA
Rfam family: 5.8S ribosomal RNA (bases 1-120)
Source: RNAcentral